Molecule: long non-coding RNA, 290 nt
Filed under: Physcomitrium patens
Lineage: Eukaryota; Viridiplantae; Streptophyta; Bryopsida; Funariales; Funariaceae
Description: long non-coding RNA (PPAT_LNC013394)
Source: RNAcentral
UCUUCCUCUCUACUUUCUUCCAAGAUUCCAAACACUCAUCAUGUAAGAAAGCACAACUCCAUGGGACAAACACGGUGAGGAACAAGCCAUUCACUCAUUCAUUACAGCAACCUCACCAAAAGGGAAAACCCUCAAAUUCAUUCCACCCACUCAAUUGCAUGCUAUUCUAUUUUAUUCUAUUCUAAUCUAUGCUAUUCUGUUUCCACCCCAUUGCUUAUACAUACUCUAAUUCUACUCUCUCUUCCAUGGAUGGCAAUGCUCUAUUGACCCUCAAUGACUACUGGCCUCAG